AACUUUCAACAACGGAUCUCUUGGUUCCGGCAUCGAUGAAGAACGCAGCGAAAUGCGAUAAGUAAUGUGAAUUGCAGAAUUCCGUGAAUCAUCAAAUCUUUGAACGCACAUUGCGCCCUCUGGUAUUCCGGAGGGCAUGCCUGUCCGAGCGUCAUUGCAACCCCUCAAGCACG
RNAcentral lists this ribosomal RNA (173 nucleotides) under Amauroascus aureus. Its description in RNAcentral is "5.8S ribosomal RNA". The stretch from base 1 to 154 matches the Rfam family "5.8S ribosomal RNA". Rfam says of the family: 5.8S ribosomal RNA (5.8S rRNA) is a component of the large subunit of the eukaryotic ribosome. It is transcribed by RNA polymerase I as part of the 45S precursor that also contains 18S and 28S rRNA. Functionally, it is thought that 5.8S rRNA may be involved in ribosome translocation. The record is from RNAcentral. Lineage: Eukaryota; Fungi; Ascomycota; Eurotiomycetes; Onygenales; Onygenaceae.